Molecule: ribosomal RNA, 446 nt
Filed under: uncultured bacterium
Lineage: Bacteria
Description: bacterial SSU rRNA
Rfam family: Bacterial small subunit ribosomal RNA
Source: RNAcentral
CCCAGACUCCUACGGGAGGCAGCAGCGGGGAAUAUUGCACAAUGGGGGAAACCCUGAUGCAGCAACGCCGCGUGAGUGAAGAAGUAUUUCGGUAUGUAAAGCUCUAUCAGCAGGGAAGAAGAAGGACGGUACCUGACUAAGAAGCCCCGGCUAACUACGUGCCAGCAGCCGCGGUAAUACGUAGGGGGCGAGCGUUAUCCGGAUUUACUGGGUGUAAAGGGAGCGUAGACGGUUAAUCAAGUCUGAAGUGAAAGCCCGCGGCUCAACUGCGGAACGGCUUUGGAAACUGAGUAACUGGAGUGCUGGAGGGGCAGGCGGAAUUCCUGGUGUAGCGGUGAAAUGCGUAGAUAUUAGGAGGAACACCAGUGGCGAAGGCGGCUUACUGGACUGUAACUGACGUUGAGGCUCGAAAGCGUGGGGAGCAAACAGGAUUAGAUACCCCGGUA